GACGAAGGGGGCUAGCGUUGUUCGGAAUUACUGGGCGUAAAGCGCGUGUAGGCGGUUAUCCAAGUCGGGUGUGAAGGCCUUGAGCUCAACUCAAGAAAUGCACUCGGUACUGGGUGACUAGAGGACCGGAGAGGAUAGUGGAAUUCCCAGUGUAGUGGUGAAAUACGUAGAGAUUGGGAAGAACACCAGUGGCGAAGGCGGCUAUCUGGACGGUUUCUGACGCUAAGGCGCGAAAGCGUGGGGAGCAAACAGG
RNAcentral lists this ribosomal RNA (253 nucleotides) under uncultured bacterium. RNAcentral describes it as "partial 16S ribosomal RNA". It matches the Rfam family "Bacterial small subunit ribosomal RNA", at positions 524 to 776 of the family's 1533-position model. The record is from RNAcentral.